UCUCCUCUUAUUUAUAGUGAGGAGUUUAGAGUUACAAUUAGAUUAUGAGCCUAAGUUAUUAGGCUUGGCCCGUAAGUAAUACAAAUACAAUUAUAUUUGAUAAAUGACAACUCUAUACUCCUUUGUUAAUUCUGUUAGUGUGGAUGUUGUGAGUUGAACGAACAAGAUCCUCAUGUUAGCGUGUAAUGGUUUGCCUUGUGUGAACAGAUGUGAAUUAACUUGCCUUGUGCGAACAGAGGUUGAGGAAUGCGGCUACACGACCAAAUCACUUCUGUUAGCACUUAGUAGUAGGACUGGGCAUUUUUGAGAUUGGGCCGACCAAACCGGCCAACCCAACCCGAAAAUGGGCCAACCAAGCCCAACAAUUGCAGGUCGAAGCCCAUUCGGUCAAUUAAUGUAACAACCCGAUUUUAAUUGGGCCGGCCACGGCCCAAUACAAUCCUAACCCAUACUACCCAACCCAGCCCGACCACCUACCGUAAACCCUAAAUAUAAUACAUAUUACAUACAUAUAAAAGAUAAACAUAUUAGACACCCCUGCCUCCCUUGCCUUCUCUUCUCUUCGGCUGCACCACCAGCACUCCAGUCCAGACCAGAGUUCACACAUUGGUCCACUCCCCGGCAAAGCUCCACCAGCAGGCAGAGCUCACGUCGUCGGUCUACUGGUUCUCCAGUCCAGCAGGCGAGCUCACGUCAUCAUCGAUCGGUCCACUAGUUCUCCAUUCCAGCAGCAGGCAAGCUCACGUCGUCGUCGUCGGUGAAGGUGACACGGUGAAGCUCCUCGGCGAAGCUCCAGCACCAGCUCCAGGCGAAGCUCCUCGGCGGCACGAAGCUCUAGCUCCAACUCUCCAGACAACAAACUUAAGGACAAAGCAACAACAAAGGAGAA
Long non-coding RNA from Humulus lupulus (European hop), 889 nucleotides. RefSeq lists it as uncharacterized. Lineage: Eukaryota; Viridiplantae; Streptophyta; Magnoliopsida; Rosales; Cannabaceae. The transcript is spliced from 2 exons. The record is from RefSeq and is a predicted model, not a curated record.